RNAcentral lists this transfer RNA (74 nucleotides) under Candidatus Yonathbacteria bacterium. RNAcentral's name for it is "tRNA-Val". It matches the Rfam family "tRNA". Rfam says of the family: Transfer RNA (tRNA) molecules are approximately 80 nucleotides in length. Their secondary structure includes four short double-helical elements and three loops (D, anti-codon, and T loops). The record is from RNAcentral. Lineage: Bacteria; Candidatus Yonathiibacteriota.
GGGCGGCUAGCUCAGAUGGUUAGAGCGCACGCUUCACACGCGUGAGGUCACAGGUUCGAUUCCUGUGCCGCCCA